Molecule: long non-coding RNA, 1006 nt
Filed under: Setaria viridis
Lineage: Eukaryota; Viridiplantae; Streptophyta; Magnoliopsida; Poales; Poaceae
Description: long non-coding RNA (SVIR_LNC010526)
Source: RNAcentral
GGGUGGGGCACUUUGUUGGAGCGAGAAGAUAGGUGUGACAAUGUGGUGGGGAAGACGAUGAUCAAAAUAGGCUAGCAGCUUGACAAGGAAAUCAAGGAAACAAGGGUUGCCAGAUAAAUGGUAAAUCCAAUCCCCUAAAAUGCUGUUAUUUGAAAAUAAGUAAAGUCAACCAUCGAUCCCUAAACUUGUAGCUUCGUGUCACCCCAGUCCCCGAGCUUGCAAAUCACUCAAUCAGGUCCCAAACACUAUUUGGGUCUCAUUUCUGUCCAAUCGGCACAACCAUGUGUAAAGGAGCCGACAUGUCUAUGCCACCAUGUCACGUACGUGGCGUGGGGGGAGGACUGAGAUGGGCCUUGUUUAUUUUACAUAGAAGCCCCUCUGAUCUAAUGUGUCCCUCAUUUAUCCCCUUGAUCCCCUCCCUGCUCGUUUGUAUUCUCGUCGAGAAGACAAGGUCUGCAAAGUCAGACAAGUGGGGGCUCGACGGUGGCGAUCGAGAGCAUACUAAGUGAGGUGGCACAGAGAUUAGCGGAGUGUGAAAGGAAGUGCACAAGCUGGAGCAGUUUGCCACCGCGACAUAUAAGGAUGGUGACAAGAUUGCGAGGGAAAGGGGAAGCACCGCCCGAGUAUGGUGAGUUGAUCUUUGUUGGUAUAUUUAAUGAUCAUGAAUAAAUUCGCAAGCGCACGGAUAUACCGUUGUAGCAUUUCACCCAAGAGUAUGCUCAAGGGUAUCGUAUUUCCCAAAGGAAGGUGGGUAGGUUAAAAGAGUUUACUAUGCAUAUGAGUAUACCAUAGAUGGAUAGAGACAAUACUCAAGGUAGGGGUAAGAUAUGAUAGAUAUGUAGUGUGAAACACACAGGAAUCAUCUCAAGAUAACUAAGCUAGGGAGAAGGACUAAGAGUUAGCUCUAGGUUCAUACCUACUUCGUAUAUACUGCACAAAUCAUACAAGCAUAACAUACAUACACAUUGUAUAGGACUCAGGCCUAUUCAUCCUAGCACACACAGGG